UACAGAGGGUGCAAGCGUUGUUCGGAAUUAUUGGGCGUAAAGCGCGUGUAGGCGGCUUUGCAAGUCGGGUGUGAAAGCCCUCGGCUCAACCGAGGAAGUGCGCCCGAAACUGCAGAGCUCGAGUACCGGAGAGGAUGGCGGAAUUCCCCAAGUAGAGGUGAAAUUCGUAGAUAUCGAGAGGAACACCGGUGGCGAAAGCGGCUACCUGGACGAGGACUGACGCUGAGAUGCGAAAGCGUGGGGAGCAAACAGG
This 253-nucleotide ribosomal RNA is filed under the name uncultured bacterium. RNAcentral describes it as "partial 16S ribosomal RNA". It matches the Rfam family "Bacterial small subunit ribosomal RNA", at positions 524 to 776 of the family's 1533-position model. The record is from RNAcentral.